UUGGCUCAGCUUCUGUCACGUGCCCUUGUCUUAACUGCAGGGGAGGCUGGGAAAAUGUUCAAGCUUCUUCAGCUUCCAUAGGCAGGUUCUGCUUCCCUCAAACUUAGGAAAGGGCUUCAGAUGUGGAGCAGCCUAAAAGAAUGACACAUGCCCACUCUAAUUAGCUGGCCAAAUUAGUUCUACAGAAGAGAAGUACCUUGGGAUUUCGGAGCAGAAAGUGAUGAUUCUGAGGAGGCUUUAGAGGAGGGGAGAUUUGAUCAAGUCUUGAAGGAUGAGAAAGUUGGUAGGGUUGUAGGUAGGGAUAGGAGAAGGAUUUCGAGAGACACAUAUGGAAUGACAAUAUUAAGAAUGCUGAACUGGGGAAAACAAAUGCAAGCGCUGUGCUAGCAGGAAGGUCUGUGAAGUUUGCAAUAAAGCCAUUAUGAAGUCAAGAAUGGAGGUUCCAUUUUUAAAGAACUCAGAGGGGGUAGAUCUUGAUUGACAUCUCAUCUGGGGUCACCUGGUCUUCAACUGAGAGAUCUUUUGGUUCGCCACGGAUGCCCCUUGCAGUUAUGGAAGCUUCCCUGACCAGAGGUCGUUUUGAGUUUCCUUCUCUGGAAUUUGACCACUGAGCAGAGACACAUAGGAGAGAAGACGUGAAUGCUGAGUCAUCAAUCAGCAUCACUGGGAAGAAAAAGCCUCUCAGUUUCUUCUGCUGGGACUCCCAGAGCUGGAGUAUUUUCUGCUCUUCCUAAGGCCUGGUAAUUCAGCUCUUUGUGAGACUGUGAGCUUUACCAUACCCUUCCAGUAGCAACCUUCUUCUUUUUUAAGUUCAUUGCGGGGAAUAGGGAGUGAUGGCUGAUGGACAUAGGGUUUCUUUUUGGGGUGACAAAAAUCUUCUAAAAUUAAGUGGUGGUGAUGGUUGCACAAUUUUGAAUAUACUAAAAACCGUGAAUUCUAAAGUUUAAACAGGUGAAUUCUGUGCUAUAUAAAUUGUAUCUCAAUGAAAUUACUAAUAUUCUAAAGCCUCCCAAGUGACUUAGAUGUUCGGUGAGUGUUGAAAGCCAGUUAUUUAUCACAUCCUUAAGUCCUGCUACCUUUCUCUCACUCUCUAAGUUCAGUUUCCUCUUUGGUUUGACUUGGACCAAUCUGCAACAACUCUUGAUGUUUCUUGUAAAUUCUAUGACUAACUCCCAGAGCUUCUCCUGUCUAUCUGAUACGCAUUUAGCUUCUCCUUUCAGGCCUCAAACAGCAUGUUUAGAACAGAACUGAUCUUCUUCUCCCCAACCUGCUUUACCUUUUCUAUUUCUCACUCAGUUACUGGCACAAACUUCUCCAUAUAUGUUUAAGAAGACCUCUACUUUGACUUUCCCUGCUCCUUCUAACUUACAUCCAAUUAAUCAAAACGUUGUAUCAGUUUUAUUUCUGAAACAAUCUCUCCCAUCUUCCUUAUCUCUUCAUUCCACUGCCAGGUCUGAGUCCACCCUUUACUAUUUUCUGUUGGAUUAAGGCAAACCUCCUGUAAAGAGCUGCCCUGUCUCCUGCAGUCUCAUCCUCCAGUACCCCUUCAUGCCUACACUGAAGUCCUCUUCCUAAAACAGGAAUAGGGUUAACUCACUCACCUCCCCUAAACCUGUUAGUGGCUCUGCACUGAGUACUGGAUCAAGUCUAAUGUAAUGAGAAGGCCCAUUCAAUCUGGGCCAAACUUUCCUUCUUAGCCUAGUGUCCUCCUAUGCCCCCUGCACAGACCUUAGCUCCAAUCACACUAACCCAUGCCAUUACCUGGACACACUGUGCUAGUCUACACUCACGUGCCCCCAGCUCACAUCUCCCCUUUUCCUGGAAUGCCAUGUCCAUAUGGCCUGGAGAAUGACCUAAAGUUAGUGCCAGCAGAGAGCUUAUCAGUAGUGGGGCAGAUCACAGGGGAGAGCAGGUUUUGGAGCUAGGGUGAGGUGUCAAUGAGAAGAAGGGUGAUUUAUUAAGAAGUAAGCUCAUUUCAAGCCAUACACCUGAAACCUGACGCCCAAAGAGGAGGCAGAGACCCAAUCAACUACUGAUACAGUUUGUGAGGCUGGAGACUUGAGAGAACAAUAGGUUGAGGCAAGUGUAACCAAUGGAUUAAUUCCUUACCAAUCUAGGAUUCCUGGAGCGUGGAGUGCUCCAGGCCUGGUGGCACCAAGACUUUAAAAAGAAAAACCAUUACACAGUGAGAUUUGGUCUCUACACAAAAUUUAAAAAUUAGUGUGGUGUGGUCGCACACAACUGUAGUAACAGCUACUCAGGAGGCUGAGGUGGGAGGAUCGCUUGAGCCCAGGAGUUU
This 2299-nucleotide long non-coding RNA is filed under the name Homo sapiens (human). RNAcentral's name for it is "HSALNT0307024". Lineage: Eukaryota; Metazoa; Chordata; Mammalia; Primates; Hominidae. The record is from RNAcentral.